AAUUAGUUUUUGUUAGUCAUAGAGUGUAUGAGUGAAUGGUAUUUAUAGAGUAAAAUUUUACUCUGAAUUUUUAUUUACUCCAUAUUCAACUAUAAAUUUAUCAAUUAAAAAUAAACAAUCAUCGUGUCAUGUUUACUCUGUGUCCUGUAGAAAAGGUGAAAAACCACUCUACAAUUUUACUCUUGGAUUUGUCAGAUAAAAUAUUUUAUUCUACUUUUCUAUUCUCUUUUCACUUCUUUUGUUUUACUCCAAAGUUGUAUAUUAAAAAUGGUAUUCAGUAUAUCUAUGGAAGGGAAAAGAGGUUGAUGCAUUUAUUAUCAUAGAACCCAAUGCAUUUGUUAUCAUAGAGCUGCAUUUAUGGGUCUUCAUUCAAAUAUUAUAAUUUUAAUUAAUUGAAAAAUUAAGUCCCAUUGAGAUAGUUGACAAAAAGGUCCCAUUGAGAUAUUAUAAAUUAGAUCAGAAUCUAGUCGUGUAUAUGAACCGAGAAAUAACCAAUAUUGAAAAGGUACAUAUGUUUUAUUUUCUUUUCUAUUUCUCUUUCCACUUCUUUUGUUUUACUCCAAAGUUGUUUAUUAAAAAUGGUAUUCAGUAAAUGUAGGAAGGAAACAGAGGUCGAUGCAUUUAUUAUCAUAAAACUUGAUGCAUUUAUUAUCAUAGAGCUGCAUUUAUGGGUCUUCGUUCAAAUAUUAUAAAUCUAAAUUAAUUGUGAAUUUAGGUCGCAUUGAGAUAGUUGACAAAUAAAAAGGUCCCAUUGAGAUAUUAUAAAUUAGAUCAGAAUCUAGUCAUGUAUAUGAACCGAGAAAUAAGCAAUAUUGAUAAGGUACAUAUAUUUAUAUAACCAAAAAUAAUCAUUAAUAUAAUUCAAGUCAGUUACUUUCAUCUGAAAAUAAUCAUGUAUACAAUUUACUUUCAAUAUUUCAUAUUCCAACUAUCUAAUUAUAUCUAAAUUUAUACUCAAAAUAAUUAAUAUAUUUAAUUUAUGAUUACUACAAAUACAAUUAUAAAUAAUAUUUUAAGAUAUAUAUAUGUAUAUAUAUACUUAUAUAUUUAUAUUUGAGAUAUUUUUGGAUAUUCAUUAGUUCUUGGGUUGAUAAGGUUUGAUACCGGUACAAGUUCUUAGGAUGAUAUAUCAAUAUAAGACUAGUUUAUUUAUGUUGGGUCAAAUCAGAUUCAGAACCUUAAUUGGAUUAGUUCCAACUCAAUUAUUUUUACAUAAAAAAAUCAGUCCAUUUAAAAUGCAUAUAUAAUUUAGGAUAUAUAUAUGUAAGUAACACUUUGUGAUUCUGGCUCUACCAGCUGUGAUUUUGGUACUAGGCUAAAAGCUAAGAAUGUGUGAUUUUGGAGUGAUAUUAAAGACUGAGGCUAAAAUGUUAAGUGGAUGGAUAUCCAAAAAGAGUAAGACUUCAUUGGGUUGACAAAAAAAAAGAGUAAGAGUUUUUUGUUCUUUUCCCCUUCUAACCCAAAACAUAUAGUAUAUCCCAAUGUGCCUCUGAUUAUGUGGCUUUAUCUGACACAUGUAUUUUCCACACUAAGAAAUUGUAUGUUACUUUUAUAUUUUGGAUAUUACAGACCAAAUAGCAGAAAAUAUGUCAAAAAAAAAAUUGAUCAACAUUCAAUAGCUUCUAAAAUUAUGAAUAUUUUUAUUGAAUAUUUUACUUAUUAAUCAGCUAAAAAUUGUAUAUAAUAUCAAGUUAAAAAUGUAGCACCAAAACAAGCUGACACGGCAUGCAAUCCAAGAUCAAUACAAAAGCAAACUAAAGAUUAGGAAUGAUCAACCAAAUAACUCCAUCCUUCGCAAUCGCUUUUAUCCAACGGCGAUGAAAAGGUAACAAGAGUCUUGAGCAAGGCCACGUCACCGUAUUAUAUGUUAGGUGAGAUAAUAAGAGAAGAAGUUGCAAAGAAUAAAAAGAAGCAGAUAUAGAAUAAUUUAGCAUAAGAUUUUUUUAUUAAUGUGUCGAGCUUUUUUUGUGCAUCAUAAAUCAAUUUCUCUUAUCGGAUCAGAUAUAUGACAAUCACUAUUUUUUAAAAAGGCAGUUCCAAUUGCUAAUUGCAAUUGUUCUGAUUUAAGAAAAGUUGUCUUAUUAACUUGAAAUAAUUAGUUUGGGAAAAUAUUUGAUUAAUCACAUAAUUUUGUGGACUUAUAGGAAAAAACAAAAAAAAAUGACUAAGUAAAAGUAGUUUGGAAGGGGUCUAGAAGUCAACCCUCUAAUUCUGAGUGUUUUGGACUCCUUUAAUUUCUAAUUAACCAGACAUUCCUUGGCAUUAGAUGUCAAAAUUUUUAUUUCUUGUGUUCAAACAAAUAAAAUGCUUCACUAACUUCUCAUCAGGUCAGAAUAAGUUAGUUUUAAAUAUGCUUGUGUAUUUUGGUUUAUAAUGUGCAUUUCUUAUGGUUCUAUUGAGUUUAUGAACGUCACUAGUGUUAGACUUAAACCCUUCUUUUGGUCUCAUGAUCUUAGAAUGUGUCAUAUCUUUUCGUUAGUCUAUAUUUGAUUGUGUAACCUCAUUAGAAUGGUGUAAGCGUGAGUUAUAUGUAGUUUCUUUUUCAUGUUUUCAUAUUUGAAAAUGUGAUUCUCUCGAAUAUAUUUUGAUAGUAAAUACACAAAAUGAUAAAUGUGGAUACUAACGUCUGUAUUGUUUAAUUAAACUAAGUAAGAAGUUUUAAUUUCAUAGCUUGUUAUAAUCAUAAUUUCGUUAUUGUUUAGUUUCUUUUACAAUUUCAGUUUUAGCUGAUUCAAUUUAUACAUUUUAUCAUUCUAAUUAUUUCCAUAUCUUGCAAUACCAAAAGUUCCAAAAGCUCCAAAGAGAAGCAUGCCACAUCAGCAUGGAAAUUCAGGUAAAUUAUAUGCUUUCAUUUUACCACAUCAGCUAUAUCAUUUUGUUUUUAAAUCUCCUUUUAAUAAUUGAGAUACAUAUGCCUUCUCCAUUUCUUCUCUUGCUGUUAAUGUAAAUUGUAAACCAAACGUCAAUUAACAACGGACAUAAUCUAGCUCAAUUAACCAAAUGUCAAUUAACAACCUCUGAAACAAUCAUACACAACCCCUUUCUCAAACAUCAAUUUCUUCUGGUUUACAUCUGAGGCAUAGUUCCAACGUGUCUUCCAGAACUUGCAAUCAACAACGGACAUUCCCUUUCUGGCUACUCCUUUUGCAGGCACCUUCGAUUUCAUGUCGAGAUGAUAUUGGUUACAAAAACUUAGCAGCUCCUCCAUGUCCGCUUCUUUGUUCCUCUCAUAAAUAACUUGAAGUUCUAGCUCCUCAGUAGAUAUUCAUGCUGCAAACUCAUCAUCAUGCCGCUUUCUCUCAGCUUCUGCUCUACUCUCCUCAACCUCAAGCUCAUCAUCAUGUUGCUUCCUCUCAUCUUCUGCUCUAGAAGAAGUUGCAAAGAAGAAGGAGAAGCAGAUAUAGGAUACUUUAGCAUAAGAUUUUUUAUUAAUGUGUCGAGCUUUUUUUGUGCAUCAUAAAUCAAUUUCUCUUAUUGGAUCAGAUAUAUGAUAAUUAUUAUUUAAAAAAAGGUAGUUCCAAUUGCUAAUUGCAUUUGUUCUGAUUUAAGAAAAUUUGUCUUAUUAACUUGAAAUAAUUAGUUUGGGAAAAUAUUUGAUUAAUCACAUAAUUUUGUGGACUUAUGGGAAAAAACAAAAAAAAAAUGACUAAGUAAAAGUAGUUUGGAAGGGGUCUAGAAGUCCACCAUCUAAUUCUGAGUGUUUUGGACUCCUUUAAUUUCUAAUCAACCAGACAUUCCUUGGCAUUAGAUGUCAAGAUUUUAUUUUUUUUGUGUUCAAACAAAUAAAAUGCUUCACUAACUUCUCAUCAGGUCAGAAUAAGUUAGUUUUAAAUAUGCUUGUGUAUUUUGGUUUAUAAUGUGCAUUUCUUAUGGUUCUAUUGAGUUUAUGAAAGUCACUAGUGUUAGACUUAAACUCUUCUUUUGGUCUCAUGAUCUUAGAAUGUGUCAUAUAUUUUCAUUAGUCUAUACUUGAUUGUGUAACCUCAUUAGAAUGGUGUAAGCGUGAGUGAUAUGUAGUUUCUUUUUCAUGUUUUCAUAUUUUGAAAAUGUGAUUCUCUCGAAUGUAUUAUUGUGAUAGUAAAUGCACAAAAUGGUAAAUGUGGAUACUAAUGUUUGUAUCAUUUAAUUAAAUUAAGUAAGAAGUUUUAAUUUCAUAGCUUGUUAUAAUCAUAAUUUCGUUAUUGUUUAGUUUCUCUUACAAUUUCAGUUUUAGCUGAUUCAGUUUAUACAUUUUAUCAUUCUAAUUAUUUUCAUAUCUUGCAAUACUAAAAGUUCCAAAAGCUCCAAAGAGAAGCAUGCCACAUCAGCAUGGAAAUUCAGGUAAAUUAUAUGCUUUUAUUUUACCACAUCAGCUAUAUCAUUUUGUUUUUAAAUCUCCUUUUAAUAAUUGAGAUACAUAUGCCUUAUCCAUUUCUUCUCUUGCUGUUAAUGUAAAUUGUAAACCAAACAUCAAUUAAUUUAUGGAACUAUGUAUUAACUUACUCUCUAAAUCUCUCCAAUGGUUUAUUUUCCUACUCCAUUCAUUUUGUUUUCUUCCUCACUCUAUUCGCCUUCUUAAAAAAUCACACCUUCCUCAUCAACUCCUGGAAAGCCACGGUUACCGGUCCUCCGCAGCAGAUAUCUUCUGCUAUAACCUAGAGAUUGGCCGCAGAUACCAACGACGCUGGAAACAGAGAUGUUAUUUUGUCCAUUUGCAUAGACUCUAUCGCGGAUUAUGUGCUGACAGGGUGUGUAAUCCCAAACGGGUCAAACCAAUCUUUACUAGCGGUUAUAUUUUCAGUAGGUUAUAUGAUAUUUGCCAAGGAUGAUGACUUUCACAAUCUGGCACAUAAACUUGAAGAUUUUGCUAGAAGUUUUAAAUCUCAAUUUCAAUCGCUGAAGGAAAACAGUUUCCAAGCUUUACUCGAUUUUCUCUUUUAGGCUUCAAUGAAAUCAGGUUUCUAGCAACAAUGGCAAUCGAGAAUCAAGAGAAGACAAUCCGCGUAAUCCAGCCUAAAAAGACAGUAAACAUGGUAUUUCAAACAACCUUUAUCUAGCAUGAUCUUUUUCUAUGUGCUAUGUUUGGUUUUAGCUUGAAGAAUCAGAACAAUGCACUUUUAAAAAUGUUUUCAUCUUGGAUUGACUCUGCAAGUAAUUUACUUUAUUUUGUGUCACGAAUUGGUUCAUUAUGCUUUUCUAUUACAUACCAAUCUUAUACUUUUGAACCCUCAGUAUUCCGGAGAAAUAGUGAGCAGGAAUUAUAACAUUUAUGGGGUUUAAUAUGAAGGCAAGAACAACAAAGCAUAAGAGAUAAUCUGGAAUAUUAAUUGGUGACUUUUCUGUGCACUAAUUAUGUCAGAUUUUCAACUACUAAACUGAGAUCUCUUAUGCAGAGAAAAGUUGGAAGGACUAUUUGGAAUCUCUUGGUCAUGGUCUUAUGUAUUUUCUUCUAGGAAGUUAUAUAUAUGCUUACAGCCUUACUUUACCCAAUAUUUAUAAGGGAGAAUUAGCAAAAAGAAACACUUUGAAUUUUUGUUUGUCUAAAUUGGAUUUUUCAUACAUUUGGUCAUUUUGGACAAGUUUUACCUUUUGGAAUUGAAAAAAUAGUAAACUAAGUUUUAAAAAUUGGGAAAAAUAUGUAAACCAUUGGAAACAUUAGCAUGACAAUUUAUAUAUUUAAAUUUUAUUUUUAAAAAUAGUGGACUUAUGUUUUAUUUAAUGUUCUAGCACGUAUAUAAUACUCAUUCUAGCCAUCUACCUAGUCUACAAAUCGUAUAGUAAGUAUUACACACAUAUUUAUCAUGGGUAGAGAAUACAAACAAACAUUUCUUCUAUAUUCUACUAGAGCUAGAUUAUGUCAACUAGUAUUCUAACAAGAUGUCUUUAGUCUACUUGUUCUUUUAUUACAACUUAUAACCUCGACUCUGUGAAAUACCUUUAUUUUUUUAUGUGUCAUAACCUUUUCUACCUUUUACGUUAUCAUACGCGUAGGGAAGAAUAAACCCCGUACCCUCUCUUUAAUCCUCUGCUAUACGUAGAAUACAUAUUAUAGGGAAAUCACAAAAAAUAUGGAAACUUCCCUAUUUCGAUAAAAAUCUUUCCUGAAUCUAAACUAAAUAUAUCAUAAAUCUCUCAUAGUAUCUUCUUUCAGAAAUAAAAAAAAAAAAAUCAUAAAACUGCUUUUUCCUUCACUCGAACCCGAGUUAUUUAAUAGAAAAAUACACACGCAAGCCACUAGACCACACAUAAUUUACACUACUUUGAUAUGUACACCAGUUUAUAUACUAUCAAGUAUAAUAAAAAUCUUAAAAUUGAUCCUUUAUUAAUCCACAAUCAAUUUCUGACUUUUGUAUAUUUUGAAUUUCAUAUGACAGGUCAAAAGUGCACGUUUGGAAGUUUAAAGCAAAAUCAUAAGGACAUUUUUGUAAAUUUAGAAGAUUGGGGCAAACAUUACACAGAAAAUUCAUGGACCAAAGCUGAAAAUAGGAAUACUGACUGGUCUAGAUUGAACAACUGAAAGUUUUGGAAUUGAUUUGAGGAGCAAUAUGUACAAACAGAAAGUUAUGGGACAAAUCCGUGAUUAGUCAAAAGUUUGAGGACCUGUCUUGCAAAAUUACCCAAACUUGCCAUUGUUGCUUUCCGAGAAGCUUUCCUUCGAUCCGCGACGGCAAGGGAUGAUUCCAAUGUAACAGAGACAGUGGAGUGAAGCAGAGAGCACGACGAGAUUGGAGCCUUCGGAUAUGAGACGGAGGAGCGACAUCACGAGUUGAAGCCGUGGAGGAAGCUUGGUCGCAGCGAUUGGAACAGAGCAUGACCACAAAAUUGACGAGACGAACAGAACAGAGCACGGUGGUGAGAAGCUAAAGAGGACGACCUCUGGUCGGGAUGAGCAAUAUCUCUUCAGUGGAUGUUUCAUUUCUUUAUGUUUUUCCUUUUUUCCUUUUUAAUAAAACUUAAAUCAAUUACAAAUUAUUAAUAUUAAUUAGGUUAAUUGAAGGGUAUAAUAGUAUUAAAGAGAAUAUAAGUCCUAAUUUCCUAAAUAAUCUUCUACGAGUUUUAUUGAGACAAAACUAAGUUAAAAGUGUUUCUUUUUUCCAAUUUUCUCUAUUAUUAUAAAUUAGAUCAUAAUCUAGUCAUGUAUAUGAACCGAGAAAUAACCAACAUUGAUAAGGUACAUAUAUUUAUAUAACCAAAAAUAAUCAAUAAUAUAAUUCAAGUCAGUUACUUUCAUCUGAAAGUAAUCAUGUAUACAAUUUACUUUCAAUAUUUCAUAUUCCAACUAUCUAAUUAUAUCUAAAUUUAUACUCAAAAUAAUUAAUAUAUUUAAUUUGUGAUUACUACAAAUACAAUUAUAAAUAAUAUUUUAAGAUAUAUCUAUCUAUAUAUAUAAAAUAGAGUUUCUCUCUCUCUUAGGCCAUCCACAUGGGAUGCCACGUCACUAAUUAAGAGCACCAGACGAAGACAUGUGUCAUAACUUAAAUGCGUUCUUAACUCAAUCUGUUGUGUUUCACCAUGGGCUUAAUAUUGAGUUGUCGAUUGAUAUUUUUCAGCCUUAAUUGAACGGUAGGCCAUUCAUCCUCAUCGUCUAAGAUUCUCCGUCGUAACUAAUAACACGAAAAAGUUCGUCAACGCCGAAGAAACGAUGAGUCUGUUCAUCUCACCGACUAACUGUUUCCCAGCAAUAUCUGUUGGAACCUUACACCGAGUGUCUCAUCAUACGAUUUCUGACUUACGGCUAAUGAAACUGGAGAACGUUACGGAAACCGGUUGAAUUGAGGCGUGGGCUUUAAUGUCCUCAUAAACAACAGCUCCCCACUCCUCCAUGAUUUGUCAUUGAAUGCAUUCUCUCCAUUAAUUCCAUUGUGUUAAUCUUCGAUUAUAAAAAGGUGAUUGACGGAAGGGGAGGGAUAGAGAUGGCUACAGGAGAAGAUCAAAUGCAAGGUUCGUCUGCGUCUAUUAAGUGUGAAAGAAAGAGUAAGGAUGACGUGGUAGAUUGGAAGUGUAUCAUUGAUGAAACAGUCAUAUACAUGAGCUAUCGUUCCGUUUUCGACCAUCCAAUAUACCCACUGCAUCUACAUUUGGUAAUACUUGCUUAUUUUUCCAGCUUCUUGAUCAAAUGUAAUCUUUGAUUUCAUAUGCCUUUAGAUAGAGUGUUUGGCCUUGCAAGUUGUAAGGAGGUGUACGAUCGAUCAAGGGGCGAAUGAAGUUGCUCUCUCUGUUGUUAGUGAGGUUCACUUUAAGGCAUGUUGCUUUAAAUGAUAGAGCUGAAGAAAGAUUUAACAGUUAAGGUACAAGCUUUUCAUUUCAUAAACAUUGUGCUUGCAUUCGCUGAUGGAAAGCUUUAUUUUCUUUUGGUUAUUGUAAUCUGACGGCUGGGGUUCACGUUUGGUUUUAAACAUGUUCAUGACAUCACAUUAACACUUUUUCACUGACACUUUGAGAAAGAUCCAUAAAAGAAGGUAACAUGGCUCAGACUUCCAGGUACAUACCUAUUGUCGAGUGUCUCUUUAGCUAAGAUGCAGCAGAAUGCAUACUUGCAGGUACAUACACUAUUUUAAUCAUUCAUGCUCAUCUGUUAAUUUUCAUUUGUUGAGGUACUUACCAACCAAGAAAGCCAUGAAUGAAACUUAAAUCUGGAUUUGUACCUUGCAGAAGAAUGUGGAUCCUCAACGUCACAUGACGUAGCUUAAGCAGUGAUAUACUUAGGAGGAUCCAUUGUGGUAUUUAAAGGUUAGAAUGCUGCAAUUUACCAUUGUGGCAUAUGGACAGUGAGAUAUGGAAGUGAUUCGGAUAGGGAACAAUGCCACCAUUCUUAUUUUCCUGUUCAUAGGAGUGUGUAUUGAAGAAACAAGCACUCCAUUAGAUUUAAUAACACAAUUUGCAAGUACACAUACACACCAUCUAUACACAAAGUAGAUGUCUGAUUAUGAGUUUGUGUGACAUUGAAAUGAACAGUUGAGAUGAUGUGUGGAAAAUAAUAACCAACGAGUUUUUAAAUUUCAAAUUUCUGUGUAACACUUCGAAUUUAUCUUGGGUAAGAAAUAUAUAAUAGAUAUUAAAAGAAUAUUAUUAUGACUUUUCUUCUUAUCUUUUCGUUGAAUGAAACAAAAAAAGUGGACAUGAUUCUUAAGAAUGAGCCAUUCAUAUGAUAAUUACACCAUACACUACUAUAGAUUUCAAUUGCGAUUUGCGACAACCCUUGCAGUCAGUGCCGGCUUAGCACAUGUGCUCAAGGCACAUUUGCACAGGGUCCUUUGUUUUUCUUUAAAAAAGUUAGGGCCCUAUUUGCUAAAAACUAUAAAUAUUAGGGUCCUAAUUUUCAGAGUUACUGCAAUAUAGCUAAAGUUUGGGUUUUUUUUUUAAUUUAGCACAAGGUCUUAGCAGUAUUUGGGCCGGGCCUGCUUGCAGUGAUAUGUCGGGAGGCGGGAGGCACAUGUGUUUCUUCCUAGAGUAAGUGGGGGUUAUUGGUUGUGGUAUUUGCUUGGAUUUAGAUUUUUUUUUAGAUUUGAAAAUCUUUGAUAAAUUCAUUGAUUUUAAAAUCAAAAUAACUGGAUUUCACAAAAAUUCAGAUGGAUGUCAAAAUCAAAUAAGUAGAUUAUUAUAAAUCAGCCAUAUGAAUUUAAAAGAGUUGUGACAGGCUCGUGAAAUAUUUUUCUUCUUAAAAGAAAUACUUUGAUACAUGUACUUCAACAUGAGUACUGCCCAAAGGACUCGAAAGAAAACCAUUAUUUGCUUCAUUUCUAUCAAUUGCCGCAUAAAAUCUGACUUUUCCAAUGAUCCAGAAAACAGUUUCGUCUAUGCGAAGAGAUUUAUUGGUUGGAGUCAAAGCAGGUUUUCGAUAGAUUUGUCAAGUAUGAAGACAAGUACGUCAAGCUUGAGUAUCCUCCAAUUAACUAACAAUUUUCCGUUGAGGCAUCGCUAAGAAAAAGCUAACCCUUACGUUAAGUCAACACGUUCUUGUAUGAAUUCCAUUGAGAAUUAACUCACAGAGAGAUGCAAAUUUCAGUUUCAAUAAUAUUUGACAAAGACUUGUCGCAGACGCUGCACUUGCAGCUCAAUGACGACUUCUCAGCUACUGCCGUCACCAGAGGAAGAAGAAAAAGCUGACGAUUGCCGUAGCGAUAGAGGAGCAUAAGGCAGAAAGCGAGAUACUCGUCUUCAGUGAGUUUCUGGUGGUGGAAAUCGGAUCUUCAACGUUUGGAUCUUUUACCUUUGGUCAAGCGUUCGUCGCCAUGGAAUCUUGAAGUCUUUGAACAGAGGAGGAACCAGUCAACCAGAGAAGCUAGUCUCGGUGAGCUGAGAGCCGCGAGCACCAUUAAAAACUGAUCUUUCUGAAAACAAAGGAGAACUUGAGUUUCUUAUGUUUUUAUUGUUGUGGAGAGGAAGUUCUGUGACAAGUGGUGGGAAAGUGUGAAAAUGCUAUGGGGCAUUUCUAUCUGUAAUGUUACGGUAAAUCUGGAUGAGGUUGUAGCUCUAGGUGAUGUGGUUCGGGUUUGUUCUCGUGCACAUGUAUAAUCUGUUAUUUUAUGAAAUUUGAAGAUCAUAAGCCAAUAAUACAAAUCCAAUCAAAAUAAGAGGGUUAACCUCUAUAUUUGUUCCUUUGUAUUUCGAUCUUAAAAUCGCUCACAAAUCCAUUGAAAUACAAUUCUAAAUCAAAUUUUUUAACAAAUUUUUAUAAUUGAAUAACACUUGAUUUCAAAAUUUAUUUUAAAAUCACAAAACCAAUAACACUAGAUUUGAAUAUAGAUUUUAAAAUCAUAAAACCAAUAACACUAGAUUUGAAUAAGAAUUUUAAAAUCAUAAAACCAAUAACACUAGAUUUGGUUUGAAUUUAAAAAUCCAUUAAAAUAUACAAACCAAUAACACCCUCUAAGUUUAUCACCGCAGAUGUUCAGGUUGCUUUAGGCGGAUGCACUGUUGAGGAAGGACCAGUGCCAACAACGGAGCAUACAGUCAAGAAGGCACGCAAUGAUUAAUUUCUCAAGUUCGUGGGUUUAUGAUACUGCUAUUUGCAAAUAAUCAGCCACUUUUCGCCUUACAUAUUCACAUCACGAACUCCAAAAUGUUACUAAUAGCUAAAUAAUUAAGAUCCUCAUUACAUAAACAAAGACAGACUGGACCAAAGAAAUCGUUUUUUGUUCACUGAAUAUAAAUAGUAAACCAACUCUCAAUACAAAUUGGGAACCAAGAUGUUGCCGUAAACAUUCUUUGCUCAACAAACACGAAAUUUAUUACACAUUUGUAAACACUCUUUUCCUAUUUUUUUCAGAAACUUUUAUCUAUUUUCAGCACUUUAAAUACAAUUUUCCUUAAAUAAGCUUAUAAAUAUAUAAAACAUUUGAUUUCAAAAAAUUCUCUUUAGAAACUAAUUAUACAUGUCUUUUUCUAUUAAAUAUUUAAAUGGAUAUUUUUAAUAAAUUAAAAUAGCCUUUUUAUUAAAAAUCUAAAUGAACAGUAUAUUUAAUAAAUUUAUAUUCCUAAUAUUUCAAAUAAGAAUUUACUUUUUAAGUAAAUAUAAAUUCAGUCACAAACGUCAUCAUCAUCUACAUCUACAUAUACAUCUAUAUGUAUGCUAAGUUAUUUAAAUUUAAAUAUGUGUUUAAAAUAAAAAUAAAAAUAUAUAAUAAAGAAAGAAAUAAUUGUAUUCAAUAACAAAACACAACAAAUAUAAUAAAAUAUGUAAUAAGAUAUUGUAAGGAUUAUACAUUAUAAGUUAGCCAGUAAGAUUUAUUCCAAAUAACACGAUUAACUUUGUUUCCAUAUAUGAUAACACAUAAGAUUCUACAAAGAUGUAUAUAUAUAUAUCCAUUCUCAAAAAAAAAACACGUAAAUA
This is a long non-coding RNA of Brassica rapa (field mustard), 11812 nucleotides long. RefSeq lists it as uncharacterized. NCBI's taxonomy places the organism in Eukaryota, Viridiplantae, Streptophyta, Magnoliopsida, Brassicales, Brassicaceae. The record is from RefSeq and is a predicted model, not a curated record.